UACGGAGGGUGCGAGCGUUGUCCGGAAUCACUGGGCGUAAAGGGCGCGUAGGUGGCACGGGUAGUCGUCGGUGAAAGCUCAGGGCUCAACCCUGAGUCGGCCGGUGAUACUCCCGAGCUCGAGUGUGGUAGAGGCCAAUGGAAUUCCGGGUGUAGCGGUGGAAUGCGUAGAGAUCCGGAAGAACACCGGUGGCGAAGGCGGUUGGCUGGGCCACAACUGACACUGAUGCGCGACAGCGUGGGGAGCAAACGGG
RNAcentral lists this ribosomal RNA (253 nucleotides) under uncultured bacterium. RNAcentral describes it as "partial 16S ribosomal RNA". It matches the Rfam family "Bacterial small subunit ribosomal RNA", at positions 524 to 776 of the family's 1533-position model. The record is from RNAcentral.